This 292-nucleotide ribosomal RNA is filed under the name uncultured bacterium. RNAcentral's name for it is "partial 16S ribosomal RNA". It matches the Rfam family "Bacterial small subunit ribosomal RNA", at positions 505 to 796 of the family's 1533-position model. The record is from RNAcentral.
GUGUCAGCAGCCGCGGUAAUACGGAGGGUGCGAGCGUUAUCCGGAAUUACUGGGUUUAAAGGGUGCGUAGGCGGCCAUGUAAGUCAGGAGUGAAAGUUUGCGGCUCAACCGUAAAAUUGCUUUUGAUACUGCAUGGCUGGAAUCAGGAUGAGGUCAGCGGAAUGUGGCAUGUAGCGGUGAAAUGCAUAGAUAUGCCAUAGAACACCAAUUGCGAAGGCAGCUGGCUAGACCUGUAUUGACGCUGAGGCACGAAAGCGUGGGGAGCGAACAGGAUUAGAUACCCCCGUAGUCC